This 335-nucleotide ribosomal RNA is filed under the name uncultured Planctomycetales bacterium. RNAcentral describes it as "bacterial SSU rRNA". It matches the Rfam family "Bacterial small subunit ribosomal RNA", at positions 473 to 806 of the family's 1533-position model. The record is from RNAcentral. Lineage: Bacteria; Pseudomonadati; Planctomycetota; Planctomycetia; Planctomycetales.
CUAAGGCUCCAGAGGAAGCCACGGCUAACUCUGUGCCAGCAGCCGCGGUAAUACAGAGGCGGCAAGCGUUGUUCGGAAUUAUUGGGCGUAAAGAGCACGUAGGCGGCCUUGCAAGUCAGUUGUGAAAGCCUUCCGCUUAGCGGAAGAAUGCCAGCUGAUACUACAGGGCUUGAGUACGGGAGGGGAGAGCGGAACCUCUGGUGGAGCGGUGAAAUGCGUAGAUAUCAGAAGGAACGCCGGCGGCGAAAGCGACUCUCUGGCCCGAAACUGACGCUGAGUGUGCGAAAGCUAGGGGAGCAAACGGGAUUAGAUACCCCGGUAGUCCUAGCCGUAAA